RNAcentral lists this ribosomal RNA (187 nucleotides) under uncultured bacterium. RNAcentral's name for it is "partial 16S ribosomal RNA". It matches the Rfam family "Bacterial small subunit ribosomal RNA", at positions 1306 to 1500 of the family's 1533-position model. The record is from RNAcentral.
UGCAACCCGACUCCGUGAAGCUGGAUUCGCUAGUAAUCGCGCAUCAGCCAUGGCGCGGUGAAUACGUUCCCGGGCCUUGUACACACCGCCCGUCAAGCCAUGGGAGCCGGGGGUACCUGAAGUGCGUGACCGCAAGGAGCGCCCUAAGGUAAAACCGGUGACUGGGGCUAAGUCGUAACAAGGUACC